UAGGGAAUCUUCCACAAUGGACGCAAGUCUGAUGGAGCAACGCCGCAUGAGUGAAGAAGGUUUUCGGAUCGUAAAGCUCUGUUGUUGGUGAAGAAGGAUAGAGGUAGUAACUGGCCUUUAUUUGACGGUAAUCAACCAGAAAGUCACGGCUAACUACGUGCCAGCAGCCGCGGUAAUACGUAGGUGGCAAGCGUUGUCCGGAUUUAUUGGGCGUAAAGCGAGCGCAGGCGGAAGAAUAAGUCUGAUGUGAAAGCCCUCGGCUUAACCGAGGAACUGCAUCGGAAACUGUUUUUCUUGAGUGCAGAAGAGGAGAGUGGAAUUCCAUGUGUAGCGGUGGAAUGCGUAGAUAUAUGGAAGAACACCAGUGGCGAAGGCGACUCUCUGGUCUGCAACUGACGCUGAGGCUCGAAAGCAUGGGUAGCGAACAGG
RNAcentral lists this ribosomal RNA (429 nucleotides) under Bacillota bacterium. RNAcentral describes it as "Firmicutes bacterium partial 16S ribosomal RNA". It matches the Rfam family "Bacterial small subunit ribosomal RNA", at positions 355 to 776 of the family's 1533-position model. The record is from RNAcentral. Lineage: Bacteria; Bacillati; Bacillota.